UUUCCUACGGGAGGCAGCAGUGGGGAAUAUUGGGCAAUGGGCGCAAGCCUGACCCAGCAACGCCGCGUGAAGGAAGAAGGCUUUCGGGUUGUAAACUUCUUUUCUUGGGGACGAAGAAAGUGACGGUACCCAAGGAAUAAGCCACGGCUAACUACGUGCCAGCAGCCGCGGUAAUACGUAGGUGGCAAGCGUUAUCCGGAUUUAUUGGGUGUAAAGGGCGUGUAGGCGGGAUUGCAAGUCAGAUGUGAAAACCACGGGCUCAACCUGUGGCCUGCAUUUGAAACUGUAG
RNAcentral lists this ribosomal RNA (289 nucleotides) under uncultured bacterium. Its description in RNAcentral is "partial 16S ribosomal RNA". It matches the Rfam family "Bacterial small subunit ribosomal RNA", at positions 335 to 638 of the family's 1533-position model. The record is from RNAcentral.